UACGGAGGAUGCAAGCGUUAUCCGGAAUUAUUGGGCGUAAAGCGUCCGUAGGUGGUUUUUCAAGUCUGCUGUCAAAGCGUGGAGCUUAACUCCAUACCGGCAGUGGAGACUGGGAGACUAGAGUGCGAUAGGGGUAACGGGAAUUCCCAGUGUAGCGGUGAAAUGCGUAGAGAUUGGGAAGAACACCAGCGGCGAAAGCGCGUUACUGGGUCUGCACUGACACUGAGGGACGAAAGCUAGGGGAGCGAAAGGG
RNAcentral lists this ribosomal RNA (253 nucleotides) under uncultured bacterium. Its description in RNAcentral is "partial 16S ribosomal RNA". It matches the Rfam family "Bacterial small subunit ribosomal RNA", at positions 524 to 776 of the family's 1533-position model. The record is from RNAcentral.